RNAcentral lists this ribosomal RNA (254 nucleotides) under uncultured bacterium. RNAcentral describes it as "partial 16S ribosomal RNA". It matches the Rfam family "Bacterial small subunit ribosomal RNA", at positions 524 to 776 of the family's 1533-position model. The record is from RNAcentral.
UACGGGGGGAGCAAGCGUUGUUCGGAUUUACUGGGCGUAAAGGGCGCGUAGGCGGUCAGCACAAGUCAGUUGUGAAAUCUCCGGGCUUAACUCGGAAAGGUCAACUGAUACUGUGCGACUAGAGUGCAGAAGGGGCAACUGGAACUCUCGGUGUAGCGGUGAAAUGCGUAGAUAUCGAGAGGAACACCUGCGGCGAAGGCGGGUUGCUGGGCUGACACUGACGCUGAUGCGCGAAAGCCAGGGGAGCGAACGGG